AUGGAGUACUGGAACGGCUCCAGAGCCGAGCCCACCCGGCUCAGGGCUCCUGUGUCCUCCUACAAGUCGAUCACUAAGGUGGAGAAACUCACCGAGCAUGGCUUCAAGGUGGUUCCGGGGUGCUCCAAGUGCCUGACGACGGCGCUGCAGCCGUUACGCACAGCGGGCUUGAGGAUCCUGUUCUAUUUAGACGACCUGCUCCUCCUGGCCCAUUCUCAGACGGAAACGGAGUCGCAAACGAGGACGCUGGCACUGCAUCUGAUCACUCUGGGCUUCUCCAUAAACUGGGAGAAGAGCUCCGUGUUCCCAUUCCAGUCCAUCGUGUUCCUGGGCGUGGCCCUGGACUCUGGCUCCAUGACAGCCUGUCUCUCCCGGGAGAGAGCAACGGACUUGAAUGCCCUGACCCACCGUGUACGACCACAGUGCACAGUCACGGUGCUGUCGGUAAGGAGACUUCUGGGCAUGAUGGCGGCGGCCCACGUUGUGGUGCCGCUCGGUUUAUUACACGAGGCACAUUCAACACUGGUUCAAUCACCUCAAGGUGGACCCCAUAUGCCACAAAAGGCGCAUGACACUCGUCCCUUCUUCAGUGAAGGGAGACCUGCAGCACUGGUCAAACCCCGACACCCUGCAGCAGGGGGUUCCUCUCGGGCAAGUGACGUCACACGUGUCUGUGUUCAUGGAUGCAUCCCUGUCGGGGAGGGGGGGCACGUGCUUAUCCCAUUCUGUGGGCGAUCAGUGGCCGCCCCAAACGAAAGUCCACAUAAACCUUCUGGAGCUCAUGUCAGUGCAGAAUGUGACCCUACAUUUCGCCCCCCUCCUCCGGGACUAGCAUGUCCUGAUCCACACGGACAACCAAGUCGCUGCAGCCUACAUAAAUCGCUAGGGUGGGACUCGAUCAGCCUCACUCCUGAGCGUGGCCAGGGAGUUAUUGUGCUGGGCUCAAGCCAACCUCAUGUCAAUCAGAGCUGUGUACAUUCCGGGAAUCCUGAAUGUAGGUGCGGACAUCAUGUCCUGGGGGGGGUGGGGGUCCACGUCACUCGGGAGUGGCGGCUCCAUCCCGACCUGAUAUCUCAGGUCUGGACCAAGUUCGGAUGUGUGGCUGUGGACCUGUUUGCAUCUCGCGAGAACACACAAUGCCCCCUGAGAUUUUCUCUCAGACCACAAGAUCUUCCACCACUGGGGGUGGACACCUUUGCUCACAAACCCUGGCCCGAACUCUUACUCUACGCUUUUCCUCCAGCCCCUCUGAUCCCCCAGCUUCUGGACCGGAUCAGAUCGGAAAAACUCUCGAAAAUCUUGGUGGCUCCCCGUCGCACCUCAGCGUCCUGGUUUCUAGAUUUGCAGACGCUGUUGGCGGCGCGUCCUUGGAAGAUCCCAUGGAGGGUCGACGCGCUCUUGCAGGCGGGGGGGUAG
This 1416-nucleotide long non-coding RNA is filed under the name Nothobranchius furzeri (turquoise killifish). RNAcentral's name for it is "lncRNA (ENSNFUG00015022556.1)". Lineage: Eukaryota; Metazoa; Chordata; Actinopteri; Cyprinodontiformes; Nothobranchiidae. The record is from RNAcentral.